This 229-nucleotide ribosomal RNA is filed under the name Klebsiella quasipneumoniae subsp. similipneumoniae. Its description in RNAcentral is "partial 16S ribosomal RNA". It matches the Rfam family "Bacterial small subunit ribosomal RNA", at positions 199 to 430 of the family's 1533-position model. The record is from RNAcentral. RNAcentral also lists the same sequence under 1 other name. Lineage: Bacteria; Pseudomonadati; Pseudomonadota; Gammaproteobacteria; Enterobacterales; Enterobacteriaceae.
ACCUUCGGGCCUCAUGCCAUCAGAUGUGCCCAGAUGGGAUUAGCUAGUAGGUGGGGUAACGGCUCACCUAGGCGACGAUCCCUAGCUGGUCUGAGAGGAUGACCAGCCACACUGGAACUGAGACACGGUCCAGACUCCUACGGGAGGCAGCAGUGGGGAAUAUUGCACAAUGGGCGCAAGCCUGAUGCAGCCAUGCCGCGUGUAUGAAGAAGGCCUUCGGGUUGUAAAG